GGGCACGAACCUGCGUCCCCUGCAUCGGCAGGCAGACUCUCAACCACUGCGCCACCAGGGAAGCCCAAAUUGUACACUUUAAACGACUGAAUUGCAUGGUCUGCGAAUAUCUCAGUGAAGCUGCUUUUAAAAAAAGGAAGUGGUCAUCUUCCACUUUCUGUUGGGACACUUGCUCUUAACCCCAGCCUCCAUACUAGCACAAGACAAAGCACCUUAUGGAGACGUCCACAUGGAGAGGAACCAAAGCUUCUGACCCUCAGCCCGGCCAACAGCCCCAGCCAACAGCCAGCACCAUCUUGCUGGCCACGUGAGUGAGCCGUCUUGGAAGGAGACCCUCUGGCAGACAGUCAAGUCACCCCAGAGGGAGGAGAGAGAAGCCAUUUUUGCCAAGCCGUGCCCAAACUGCUGAUCUGGUUUCCAGAGGUUGGAGCCAGCUGCUGGUGCUGGUUCUACGCCGUGUGAUGUGUCUUCUCUCUAAAGGACUGCUCAUCCGUGGCGCAAAGAACCCAUCCUAGAGCCACCCCAGGAACUAGAAAAAACAAAUCUUUUGCCAGAAUUAUGAUGUUCCAAGAGUACAAUGAAACGUGUGCCGUGGAGGCAUUGUUCAGACUUAUGGGCAUUACAGAAGGUUCUGUCUCAGAAAAAUACAGGAACCUGCCUGCUCAAAGAUGUUUUGGAGAUCCAAAAGAAGAGGUGCUGAUUACAUGGCAUAUUGACUUUAUGUAAACCUAUCAAGCUGUAUAAUGCUGAACUAAAACCAAUAAAACACCGGGUUAUUUUAUCACCAAAAUGGGUUUAUCCAGGAACAGAAGAAUUGCAAUUCAGGUCUCACAGUCUAUGAGGAACUACAGGCAAGCCCAGAGAGCAAAGGAAGGGAGUCUGCUUUUAUAAGGAAAAGGGGG
Molecule: long non-coding RNA, 902 nt
Organism: Aethalodelphis obliquidens (Pacific white-sided dolphin)
Lineage: Eukaryota; Metazoa; Chordata; Mammalia; Artiodactyla; Delphinidae
Exons: 3
Source: RefSeq, a predicted model, not a curated record